GGGGAUGAAAGGUUUCGACGUUCAGUCGUUUAACCGGAGAAGCGUGUCGAGAAUUUAAGGUGAUCUCGUUAAACACCCUUAAAAACAAAUAACUGCCAAAACUAAGCAGUCUGCUGACGCUUACGCACUCGCUGCGUAACCGAUAAAUCAGCCGUCAGCCCAAUGCGUCCUCGAAUUGGGGUCUGACGUCGCUAGGGGACUCACCAAUCGUCUCGGUUACGGGGACAGGCGGAAAACCAAACAGUAACUGGGCUGCCACCGCAAAGUGCUGCACAUAGUGCGGGGGCCGAGACAGCGACAGCGCAGCUACACACGUAGAAGGACGGAAAAAUCCUGCACGGACCCGGGUUCGAUUCCCGGCAUCUCCACAA
This 371-nucleotide transfer-messenger RNA is filed under the name Candidatus Nanopelagicales bacterium. It matches the Rfam family "transfer-messenger RNA". Rfam says of the family: Bacterial tmRNA, also known as 10Sa RNA or SsrA, is named for its dual tRNA and mRNA-like properties. Its role is to liberate the mRNA from a stalled ribosome. To accomplish this part of the tmRNA is used as a reading frame that ends in a translation stop signal. RNAcentral also lists the same sequence under 1 other name. The record is from RNAcentral. Lineage: Bacteria; Bacillati; Actinomycetota; Actinomycetes; Candidatus Nanopelagicales.